GGCUUAACCUGGGAACUGCAUUUGAGACUGGUGGGAUUGAGUGUGGAAAAGGGAAAUGGAAUUCCAUGUGUAACAAUGAAAUGGGUAAAUGUGCGGAAGAACACCGAUGGCGAAGGCAAUCCCCUGGACCUGGGCUGACACUCAUGAUCAAAAACCUGGGGAGCCAACACGAUUAAAUACUUUGGUAGUCCGUCCCUAAAC
This 201-nucleotide ribosomal RNA is filed under the name uncultured Burkholderiales bacterium. RNAcentral describes it as "partial 16S ribosomal RNA". It matches the Rfam family "Bacterial small subunit ribosomal RNA", at positions 606 to 807 of the family's 1533-position model. Lineage: Bacteria; Pseudomonadati; Pseudomonadota; Betaproteobacteria; Burkholderiales. The record is from RNAcentral.